Molecule: transfer RNA, 72 nt
Filed under: Coniophora olivacea
Lineage: Eukaryota; Fungi; Basidiomycota; Agaricomycetes; Boletales; Coniophoraceae
Description: tRNA-Arg
Rfam family: tRNA
About the family: Transfer RNA (tRNA) molecules are approximately 80 nucleotides in length. Their secondary structure includes four short double-helical elements and three loops (D, anti-codon, and T loops).
Source: RNAcentral
AUUCUCUUAGUUCAAUGGCUAGAACAACAUUCUUCUAAAGUGUAUAUUCAGGUUCGAGUCCUGAAGAGAAUA